CCUACGGGUGGCAGCAGUGAGGAAUAUUGGUCAAUGGCCGAGAGCCUGAACCAGCCAAGUCGCGUGAAGGAUGAAGGAUCUACGGGUUGUAAACUUCUUUUAUAUGGGAAUAAAGUGAGGAACGUGUUCCUUUUUGUGUGUACCAGAUGAAUAAGCAUCGGCUGACUCCGUGCCAGCAGCCGCGGUAAUACGGAGGAUGCGAGCGUUAUCCGGAUUUAUUGGGUUUAAAGGGUGCGUAGGGGGUUAAUGAAGUCAGCGGUGAAAGUUUGGGGCUCAACCAUAAAAUUGCCGUUGAAACUGGUUGACUUGAGUAUGUUUGAGGUAGGCGGAAUGCGUGGUGUAGCGGUGUAAUGCAUAGAUAUCACGCAGAACUCCGAUUGCGAAGGCAGCUUACUAACGUAUAACUGACACUGAAGCACGAAAGCGUGGGGAUCAAACAGGAUUAGAUACCCUUGUAGUC
This 460-nucleotide ribosomal RNA is filed under the name uncultured bacterium. Its description in RNAcentral is "partial 16S ribosomal RNA". It matches the Rfam family "Bacterial small subunit ribosomal RNA", at positions 338 to 795 of the family's 1533-position model. The record is from RNAcentral.